This 2284-nucleotide long non-coding RNA is filed under the name Marmota monax (woodchuck). The record is from RNAcentral. Lineage: Eukaryota; Metazoa; Chordata; Mammalia; Rodentia; Sciuridae.
UAGAAAACUUCCCAGAGAUGAAAGAUGGAAUGGAUUGCCAAAUCCUGGAAGCCUACAGGACCCCAAACAUUCAAAACCGUAAUAGACCAACUCCAAGACAUAUAAUUAUGAAGAUAGCCAACAUACAGAACAAGGAGAGAAUAUUAAAAGCUACGAGAGAAAGGAGGCAGAUUACAUUCAGGGGUAAACCAAUUAGGUUAACGACUGAUUUUUCAUCACAGACUUUGAAAGCGAGAAGAUCCUGGAACAAUGUAUUUCAAACGCUGAAAAAUAAUGGAUUCCAACCAAGAAUACUGUAUCCAGCAAAAUUAAGCUUCAGAUUUGACAAUGAAAUUAAAAUAUUUCACGAUAAACAAAAGCUAAAAGAAUUCGCAGCCAGAAAACCAGCACUGCAAAGCAUUUUGAGCAAAAUACUACAAGAAGAGGAAUUGAAAAAUAGCGCCCAAAACUAACAGCGGGAGGUAUCUCAGUAAAGGGGGAGGAAAAUAACCAAAAAGUAAAAACUAGCCAAACUAAAAUAAAUAAAUAAAUAAACAUGACUGGAUGUACAAACCAUAUUUCAAUUAUAACCUUAAAUGUUAAUGGCCUAAACUCACCAAUCAAGAGACAUAGGCUAGUAACCUGGAUCAAAAAAACAAAUCCAACAAUAUGCUGCCUUCAGGAGACUCAUAUGAUAGGAAAAGACAUGCACAGGCUGAAGGUAAAAGGUUGGGAAAAAUCAUACCACUCACAUGGCCCUCAAAAGCAAGCAGGAGUGGCCAUACUCAUAUGGAAUACAAUCAACUUCAAACCUAAGUUAAUCAAAAGGGAUAAAGAAGGACACUAUAUACUCUUAAAAGGAACCAUCCACCAACAAUACAUAACAAUUAUCAAUUUGUAUGCACCAAACAAUGGUGCUGCAACGUUCAUAAAACAAACUCUCCUCAAGUUCAAGAGUCAAAUAGACUACAACACAAUAAUUAUGGGUGACUUCAACACACCGCUCUCGCCAUUAGACAGAUCCUCUAGACAAAAGCUGAAUAAAGAAACUAUAGAACUCAAUAGCACAAUCAAUAACCUAGACUUAACCGACAUAUAUAGAAUAUAUCAACCAUCAUCAUCUUCAACAAAUGGUGCUGGGAAAAUUGGAAAUCCAUAUGCAACAAAAUGAAACUGAAUCCCUUUGUCUCGCCAUGCACAAAAGUUAACUCAAAAUGGAUCAAGGAGCUAGAUAUCAAAUCAGAGACACUGCGUCUGAUAGAAGAAAAAGUUGGCUACAAUCUACAUACUGUGGGGUCGGGCUCCAAAUUCCUUAGUAGGACGCCCAUAGCCCAAGAAUUAAUAACAAGAAUAAAUAAAUGGGACUUACUUAAACUAAAAAGUUUUUUCUGAGCAAGAGAAUCAAUAAGAGAGGUAAAUAGAGAGCCUACAUCCUGGGAACAAAUUUUUACCCCUCACACUUCAGACAGAGCCCUAAUAUCCCGAAUAUACAAAGAACUCAAAAAAUUAAACAAUAAGAUAACAAAUAACCCAAUCAACAAAUGGGCCAAGGACCUGAACAGACACUUCACAGAGGAGGACAUACAAUCAAUCAAGUACAUAAAAAAAUGCUCACCAUCUCUAGCAGUCAGAGAAAUGCAAAUCAAAACCACCUUAAGAUACCAUCUCACUCUAGUAAGAUUGGCAGCCAUUAUGAAGUCAAACAACAAUAAGUGUUGGCGAGGAUGUGGGGAAAAGGGUACACUUGUACACUGCUGGUGGGACUGCAAAUUGGUGAGGCCAAUUUGGAAAGCAGUAUGGAGAUUCCUGGGAAAGCUGGGAAUGGAUCCACCAUUCGACCCAGCUAUUGCCCUUCUAGGACUAUUCCCUGAGGAUCUUAAAAGAGCGUACUAUAGGGAUACUGCCACAUCACUGAUCAUAGCGGCACAAUUCACAAUAGCUAGACUGUGGAACCAACCUAGAUGCCCUUCAAUAGAUGAAUGGAUAAAAAAAAAUGUGGCAUCUAUACACAAUGGAGUAUUAUGCAGCACUAAAAAAUGACAAAAUCUUAGAAUUUGCAGGGAAAUGGAUGGCAUUAGAGCAGAUUAUGCUAAGCAAAGCUAGCCAAUCCUUAAAAAACAAAUGCCAAAUGUCUUCUUUGAUAUAAAGAGAGCAACUAAGAACAGAACAGUGAGGAAGACCAUGAGGAAAAGAUUAACAUUAAACAGAGACGAGUGGGGGGAGAGAAAGGGAGAGAGAAGGGAAAGCAUAUGGAAAUGGUAGGAUACCCUCAAUGUUACACAAAAUUACAUAUAAGAGGUUGUGA